GCUCAGGAUGAACGCUGGCGGCGUGCCUAAUACAUGCAAGUCGAGCGAACGGACGAGAAGCUUGCUUCUCUGAUGUUAGCGGCGGACGGGUGAGUAACACGUGGAUAACCUACCUAUAAGACUGGGAUAACUUCGGGAAACCGGAGCUAAUACCGGAUAAUAUUUUGAACCGCAUGGUUCAAAAGUGAAAGACGGUCUUGCUGUCACUUAUAGAUGGAUCCGCGCUGCAUUAGCUAGUUGGUAAGGUAACGGCUUACCAAGGCAACGAUGCAUAGCCGACCUGAGAGGGUGAUCGGCCACACUGGAACUGAGACACGGUCCAGACUCCUACGGGAGGCAGCAGUAGGGAAUCUUCCGCAAUGGGCGAAAGCCUGACGGAGCAACGCCGCGUGAGUGAUGAAGGUCUUCGGAUCGUAAAACUCUGUUAUUAGGGAAGAACAUAUGUGUAAGUAAC
This 454-nucleotide ribosomal RNA is filed under the name Staphylococcus aureus. RNAcentral describes it as "bacterial SSU rRNA". It matches the Rfam family "Bacterial small subunit ribosomal RNA", at positions 22 to 465 of the family's 1533-position model. The record is from RNAcentral. Lineage: Bacteria; Bacillati; Bacillota; Bacilli; Caryophanales; Staphylococcaceae.